This 642-nucleotide ribosomal RNA is filed under the name Xylographa parallela. RNAcentral's name for it is "SSU rRNA". It matches the Rfam family "Bacterial small subunit ribosomal RNA", at positions 370 to 1004 of the family's 1533-position model. The record is from RNAcentral. Lineage: Eukaryota; Fungi; Ascomycota; Lecanoromycetes; Baeomycetales; Xylographaceae.
AAUAGCCUAACGGCUGAACCAGCAACUUGGAGGAACAUACAGCAAUAGCUGGUUGCAUUAACAAUAAGUUUUUACAACAUCGACUAUGUCGAAUAAAGUUCUAGGUAGAGUUAUGAUAAUGACAUUUUCUAUCUAUGUGUCUUGACCAAAUCACGUGCCAGCAGUCGCGGUAAUACGUGGAAGACUAGUGUUAUUCAUCUUUAAUUGGUUUAAAGGGUACCUAGACGGUCUAUUAAGCCCCUAAAGGGUACUUACAGACUAGAGUUUGAUGAGAGGGGGGAAGUACGAGAGAGUGUAGAGAUGAAAUUCUGUCAUACCUUACUUGGAACAGGCAACGGCGAAAGCAACUCCUUAUGUAAAAACUGACGUUGAAGGACGAAGGCUUGGGACACCAACAGGAUUAGAUACCCCAGCAGUCCUUGCAGACAAUGAUGAAUGUCAUAGAUUGGAAUUAAAUAUCUUUUUUUUUAAGAUAUCUUUUUGUCUAUAAAUGAAAGUGUAAGCAUUCCACCUCAAGAGUAAUGUGGCAACGCAGAAACUGAAAUCAUUAGACCGUUUCUGAAACCAGUAGUGAAGUAUGUUGUUUAAUUUGGUGACCCGCAAAACACCUUACCACAAUUUGAAUAUUUUUAUGUUUAUAUA